This 496-nucleotide ribosomal RNA is filed under the name uncultured bacterium. RNAcentral's name for it is "bacterial SSU rRNA". It matches the Rfam family "Bacterial small subunit ribosomal RNA", at positions 15 to 518 of the family's 1533-position model. The record is from RNAcentral.
GAUUAUGGCUCAGGAUGAACGCUGGCGGCGUGCCUAAUACAUGCAAGUCGAACGAAGUACUCGGUACUAGUGGCGAACGGGUGAGUAACACGUAGGCAACCUGCCCAUAUGACUGGGAUAACAGUUGGAAACGACUGCUAAUACCGGAUAGGUAAGCGUAUGGCAUCAUAUGCUUAUUAAAGUUGAGAUACACAUAUGGAUGGACCUGCGGUGCAUUAGUUAGUUGGUGAGGUAACGGCCCACCAAGACGAUGAUGCAUAGCCGACCUGAGAGGGUGACCGGCCACACUGGGACUGAGACACGGCCCAGACUCCUACGGGAGGCAGCAGUAGGGAAUUUUCGGCAAUGGGGGCAACCCUGACCGAGCAACGCCGCGUGAAGUGAAGACGGUCUUCGGAUUGUAAAGCUCUGUUGUAAGGGAAGAAUGUUAGUGAUAGUAUCAUUAAGUGACGGUACCUUACCAGAAAGUCACGGCUAACUACGUGCCAGCCGCAGC